This 305-nucleotide ribosomal RNA is filed under the name uncultured bacterium. RNAcentral's name for it is "partial 16S ribosomal RNA". It matches the Rfam family "Bacterial small subunit ribosomal RNA", at positions 505 to 807 of the family's 1533-position model. The record is from RNAcentral.
ACAGCAGCAGCCGCGGUAAAACGGAGGGUGCAAGCGUUAAUCGGAAUUACUGGGCGUAAAGCGCACGCAGGCGGUCUGACAAGUCAGAUGUGAAAUCCCCGGGCUUAACCUGGGAACUGCAUUUGAAACUGUCAGGCUGGAGUCUUGUAGAGGGGGGUAGAAUUCCAGGUGUAGCGGUGAAAUGCGUAGAGAUCUGGAGGAAUACCGGUGGCGAAGGCGGCCCCCUGGACAAAGACUGACGCUCAGGUGCGAAAGCGUGGGGAGCAAACAGGAUUAGAUACCCCGGUAGUCCCUGUCUCUUAUAC